RNAcentral lists this ribosomal RNA (910 nucleotides) under Limosilactobacillus fermentum. RNAcentral's name for it is "bacterial SSU rRNA". It matches the Rfam family "Bacterial small subunit ribosomal RNA", at positions 25 to 873 of the family's 1533-position model. Lineage: Bacteria; Bacillati; Bacillota; Bacilli; Lactobacillales; Lactobacillaceae. The record is from RNAcentral.
CCCGAUGAACGCUGGCAGUGUGCCUAAUACAUGCAAGUCGAACGCGUUGGCCCAAUUGAGUGAUGGUGCUUGCACCUGAUUGAUAUUGGUCGCCAACGAGUGGCGGACGGGUGAGUAACACGUAGGUAACCUGCCCAGAAGCGGGGGACAACAUUUGGAAACAGAUGCUAAUACCGCAUAACAACGUUGUUCGCAUGAACAACGCUUAAAAGAUGGCUUCUCGCUAUCACUUCUGGAUGGACCUGCGGUGCAUUAGCUUGUUGGUGGGGUAACGGCUUACCAAGGCGAUGAUGCAUAGCCGAGUUGAGAGAGUGAUCGGCCACAAUGGGAAUGAGACACGGCCCAUACUCCUACGGGAGGCAGCAGUAGGGAAUCUUCCACAAUGGGCGCAAGCCUGAUGGAGCAACACCGCGUGAGUGAAGAAGGGUUUCGGCUCGUAAAGCUCUGUUGUUAAAGAAGAACACGUAUGAGAGUAACUGUUCAUACGUUGACGGUAUUUAACCAGAAAGUCACGGCUAACUACGUGCCAGCAGCCGCGGUAAUACGUAGGUGGCAAGCGUUAUCCGGAUUUAUUGGGCGUAAAGAGAGUGCAGGCGGUUUUCUAAGUCUGAUGUGAAAGCCUUCGGCUUAACCGGAGAAGUGCAUCGGAAACUGGAUAACUUGAGUGCAGAAGAGGGUAGUGGAACUCCAUGUGUAGCGGUGGAAUGCGUAGAUAUAUGGAAGAACACCAGUGGCGAAGGCGGCUACCUGGUCUGCAACUGACGCUGAGACUCGAAAGCAUGGGUAGCGAACAGGAUUAGAUACCCUGGUAGUCCAUGCCGUAAACGAUGAGUGCUAGGUGUUGGAGGGUUUCCGCCCUUCAGUGCCGGAGCUAACGCAUUAAGCAUUCCGCCCUUGGGAUCGCCCCGCG